Molecule: ribosomal RNA, 1082 nt
Filed under: uncultured bacterium
Lineage: Bacteria
Description: bacterial SSU rRNA
Rfam family: Bacterial small subunit ribosomal RNA
Source: RNAcentral
AUUGAACGCUGGCGGCAUGCCUUACACAUGCAAGUCGAACGGCAGCACGGGAGCAAUCCUGGUGGCGAGUGGCGAACGGGUGAGUAAUAUAUCGGAACGUGCCCAGUCGUGGGGGAUAACGCAGCGAAAGCUGUGCUAAUACCGCAUACGAUCUCUGGAUGAAAGCGGGGGACUCGCAAGGGCCUCGCGCGAUUGGAGCGGCCGAUAUCAGAUUAGCUAGUUGGUGGGGUAAAAGCCCACCAAGGCGACGAUCUGUAGCUGGUCUGAGAGGACGACCAGCCACACUGGAACUGAGACACGGUCCAGACUCCUACGGGAGGCAGCAGUGGGGAAUUUUGGACAAUGGGCGCAAGCCUGAUCCAGCAAUGCCGCGUGCAGGAUGAAGGCCUUCGGGUUGUAAACUGCUUUUGUACGGAACGAAACGGUCCCUUCUAAUAAAGGGGGCUAAUGACGGUACCGUAAGAAUAAGCACCGGCUAACUACGUGCCAGCAGCCGCGGUAAUACGUAGGGUGCGAGCGUUAAUCGGAAUUACUGGGCGUAAAGCGUGCGCAGGCGGUUAUAUAAGACAGAUGUGAAAUCCCCGGGCUCAACCUGGGACCUGCAUUUGUGACUGUAUAGCUAGAGUACGGUAGAGGGGGAUGGAAUUCCGCGUGUAGCAGUGAAAUGCGUAGAUAUGCGGAGGAACACCGAUGGCGAAGGCAAUCCCCUGGACCUGUACUGACGCUCAUGCACGAAAGCGUGGGGAGCAAACAGGAUUAGAUACCCUGGUAGUUCACGCCCUAAACGAUGUCAACUGGUUGUUGGGUCUUCACUGACUCAGUAACGAAGCUAACGCGUGAAGUUGACCGCCUGGGGAGUACGGCCGCAAGGUUGAAACUCAAGGAAUUGACGGGGACCCGCACAAGCGGUGGAUGAUGUGUUUAUUCGAUGCACGCGAAAAACCUUACCACCUUUGACAUGUACGGAACUCCCAGAGAUGGCUUGUUGCUCGAAGAUAGCCGUACAGGUGCUGCAUGACUGUCGUCAGCUCGUGUCGUGAGAUGUUCGGUUCAGUCCCGCAACGAGUGCAGCGCUUGUCAUA